RNAcentral lists this long non-coding RNA (414 nucleotides) under Setaria italica (foxtail millet). Its description in RNAcentral is "long non-coding RNA (SITA_LNC005684)". Lineage: Eukaryota; Viridiplantae; Streptophyta; Magnoliopsida; Poales; Poaceae. The record is from RNAcentral.
ACCGGCUCGUGAUUUCACCUGCAGAUACCGAGCUAGACGACCUGGACAUCGACCAUGGUCAGUGGCCUGGAGCACGCAUGGCGGCGCACGCUUCACGUUCCCUGAUCAGAAGUUCAGAACGGCGGCCUCUGCAGGUACGCGAACAUGUCCCCGAACGCGGCGGCGUCGACGCGUGCGAAGAGCGCCGGCGACGGCGGACCGAAGAGCGCGCUGCCGCAGUCGUCCAUGACCACGAACCCGUCGUCGGCCGCCGCGCCGCCCCAGUCGCCGCCGGGCCACCACCCGGCCCCGCCGCCGGGCUGGCUCUCGGCGUGGUCGCGGUCGGGGAGGUCCGGCGACGGCGACAGCACGUGCUCGGACCCGCUGCUGGAGUUGUCCGUGUGCAUCGUCCACGGCACGGAGCUGGAGUCGCGG